AUAUCCCGUUUUUAAAAGCCCCGUCCACAGUUCGAUAUAAAGCUCCUCUCUAUCUAUUAGUGACCUUCGUCUAUAGAUGUGCUGUGGAGCGCUGUCAUUUAAUUUGGGCACUAGUUUAGCAUGCCAAGUGCUCGUUUUGUUUGCUAACUUCUGCCCUCUCCAUCUCGCGGAACGGCAAGAAUGUCAGCAAAGACAUGCUUUGGCCUGAUUCGACUCCUGAUCGUCGUCAGUUUAUUGGUUAUUGUGAGCAGCCCUACUGCAGGUGGCUGGUGGCCGCCUUGCUCGAGCACUGAUCCAAACAACCCCUGUCCACAGUCGUGCAGUCCGCACUCGUCUUCUUGUGAUUAGCACCUGAGAGCCCGGGAGCUCAUCCUGAUUCUACAAUAUGCAUAAAACUCGAGAAGACUAUCUGGUUGUUUCCAUUGAUUGAUCUGUUAAUGCUGGUACAUUUGGAUGAGUCUGCCUUUUCAUGUCAGUAAACUUGAAUAAAUCAAGUACUUCUUGUAAUAGGAAUUAGUAUAUCAACGACUUUCGAUCAACUUUCAUACUUGCGUAUGUAAAUGUAAUGACGGACUUGUUUGAUGGAUUAGUCCAUCCGCUCGCUUCCGCUCCUCAUUACGUGGACUGCCAACUAACUUUUCCAAUGGAUGGCCUGAAUGAAUAAAAAGGUUUCUUUUAUCCGUGGGACAACCACAAA
Long non-coding RNA from Panicum virgatum (switchgrass), 697 nucleotides. RefSeq lists it as uncharacterized. NCBI's taxonomy places the organism in Eukaryota, Viridiplantae, Streptophyta, Magnoliopsida, Poales, Poaceae. The transcript has 2 exons. The record is from RefSeq and is a predicted model, not a curated record.